AAAAAAUCAAGGUCCCGUAGGACGUCUCUGAAAGGCUCAGGGGCAACCGGUGGCCUAAUAACAGAAGGAUCUGGGACGCUGGGAUCUGGUACUAUGGGCUUAGAAGAUGGCUCAGACGAUGGUACAACCUGCAAAAAUAGAUAUGUCAGAGGAAGAAAAUUUAUGACAAAUAGAUAAGGGUAAGAUGGUACCUCAGGCUGUGGGACUGAUAUAGGCUCUGUGUGAUCAGCAGUAGGAAUAACAUCAGGCUCGGUGGCAGUGGCUGUGUCAGAUGUCGGGUCCGGAACCGCAUCUGCAUGGGUAUCCGGUGCCGAGUCUGGAACAAUAUGAUCUGGGACAUCAUCAAAG
RNAcentral lists this unclassified non-coding RNA (348 nucleotides) under Hevea brasiliensis (rubber tree). Lineage: Eukaryota; Viridiplantae; Streptophyta; Magnoliopsida; Malpighiales; Euphorbiaceae. The record is from RNAcentral.